AGCAGCCGCGGUAAUUCCAGCUCCAAUAGCGUAUAUUAAAGUUGUUGCAGUUAAAAAGCUCGUAGUUGAAUUUCGGGAUUAGUAAGUUGGUCGUGCCUCCGGUAUGUACUGGCUCUACUGGUUCCUCCUUCUUGAAGAACUGUAAUGUCAUUAAUUUGGUGUUGCAGGGAAACAGGACUGUUACUUUGAAAAAUUAGAGUGUUUAAAGCAGGCUAACGUUUGAAUACAUUAGCAUGGAAUAAUGAAAUAGGACGUUUGAUCCUAUUUUGUUGGUUUCUAGGAUUGACGUAAUGAUUAAUAGGGAUAGUUGGGGGCAUUAGUAUUCAAUUGUCAGAGGUGAAAUUCUUGGAUUUAUUGAAGACUAACUACUGCGAAAGCAUUUGCCAAGGAUGUUUUCAUUAAUCAAGAACGAAAGUUAGGGGAUCGAAGACGAUCAGAUACCGUCGUAGU
This 450-nucleotide ribosomal RNA is filed under the name uncultured Glomus. RNAcentral's name for it is "SSU rRNA". It matches the Rfam family "Eukaryotic small subunit ribosomal RNA", at positions 569 to 1024 of the family's 1831-position model. Lineage: Eukaryota; Fungi; Glomeromycota; Glomeromycetes; Glomerales; Glomeraceae. The record is from RNAcentral.